AGGAUGAACGCUAGCGGGAGGCCUAACACAGGCAAGCCGAGCGGUAUAGAUCUUUCGGGAUCUAGAGAGCGGCGUACGGGUGCAGGAAACACGUGUGCAACCGGCCUUUAUCCUGGGGGAUAGCCUUUCGAAAGGGAGAUUAAUACCCCAUAAUAUAUCAGAUGGCAUCAUUUGAUAUUGAAAACUCCGGUGGAUAGAGAUGGGCACGCGCAAGAUUAGAUAGUUGGUGAGGUAACGGCUCACCAAGUCUACGAUCUUUAGGGGGCCUGAGAGGGUGAUCCCCCACACUGGUACUGAGACACGGACCAGACUCCUACGGGAGGCAGCAGUGAGGAAUAUUGGACAAUGGGUGAGAGCCUGAUCCAGCCAUCCCGCGUGAAGGACGACGGCCCUAUGGGUUGUAAACUUCUUUUGUAUAGGGAUAAACCU
RNAcentral lists this ribosomal RNA (429 nucleotides) under Chryseobacterium sp. BTRI58. RNAcentral describes it as "bacterial SSU rRNA". It matches the Rfam family "Bacterial small subunit ribosomal RNA", at positions 26 to 453 of the family's 1533-position model. Lineage: Bacteria; Pseudomonadati; Bacteroidota; Flavobacteriia; Flavobacteriales; Weeksellaceae. The record is from RNAcentral.